GGAUUCCCUUAGUAGCGGCGAGCGAAGAGGGAAAAGCCCAGCACUAAGGGUCAAUUGUAUCCUUCGGGAGGCAAUUUCGACCGAUGCAGUGUUUGGGAGCCUCGUAAGACCGUCGCUUGUCCAGUCUAAAGUCCUCAUGAAUGUGGCCCGAUUGCCCAGAGAGGGUGUCAGGCCCGUAGGACGGAUGAGCGCUCGGCAUUCCGAGGUCUCUCUAGAGUCGUGUUGCUUGAGAAUGCAGCGCUAAUCAGGUGGUAAACUCCAUCUAAGGCUAAAUAUGAAUGUGAGACCAAUAGAAGACAAGUACCGCGAGGGAAAGUUGAAAAGAACUCUGAAGAGAGAGUUAAACAUUGCGUGAAAUCCUCCAGGGGUUUAAAACGGAAGGACUUUCGAAGUUCGAGCCAUYUUCGGGAUCAGUGUCGUGGGUAGCGAGUGCUGAUGUGAUGGGUUGAGGGCAGCCUCGGCUGUUCUCUGGUCAUGUUGGUCAUCUGCGUUGCUUACGGCGUGUAUUCCCGGGUGGAUUCGUAAUCCGCACGCGGCUGGAACGGUGUCAAAGGACCCAGUGCUUUUGUUGCUUCGGCUUCAAGACGCUGGAUUCCCGGCAACGAUUCGGCCCGGCUUCUGUUGCUGGGAGCCCUUUUGUGGGUCUCCUGGGUGAGCGGAGAGUAGGCGAGUUCCUUCCGACCCGUCUUGAAACACGGACCAAGGAGUCUAACUUGUGUGCGAGUCGUAGGUCGAUGAGAAGACCGAUGGCGGAAUGAAAGUUAAGGUAUUGCUUGCAAUGCUGAUGGGAGAUCCUUCUCCACUGGAGAGGGCGCAUCCCAGGGGCGUCGUGAUCCCGUUGCGGAUGCGACGCACCUAGAGCACACAUGAUGGGACCCGAAAGAUGGUGACCCUAUGCCUGGC
RNAcentral lists this ribosomal RNA (903 nucleotides) under Artemia sp. EC-2013. Its description in RNAcentral is "eukaryotic LSU rRNA". It matches the Rfam family "Eukaryotic large subunit ribosomal RNA", at positions 72 to 841 of the family's 3401-position model. The record is from RNAcentral. Lineage: Eukaryota; Metazoa; Arthropoda; Branchiopoda; Anostraca; Artemiidae.